ACGGCCAUACCAUGCUGAAUAUACCGGUUCUCGUUAGAUCACCGAAGUCAAGCAUCAUUGGGCGCGGUCAGUACUUGGGACCUACCUGGGAACACCGCGUGCCGUU
RNAcentral lists this ribosomal RNA (106 nucleotides) under Caerostris extrusa. Lineage: Eukaryota; Metazoa; Arthropoda; Arachnida; Araneae; Araneidae. The record is from RNAcentral.